RNAcentral lists this ribosomal RNA (253 nucleotides) under uncultured bacterium. Its description in RNAcentral is "partial 16S ribosomal RNA". It matches the Rfam family "Bacterial small subunit ribosomal RNA", at positions 524 to 776 of the family's 1533-position model. The record is from RNAcentral.
UACGGAGGGUGCAAGCGUUAAUCGGAAUUACUGGGCGUAAAGCGCACGCAGGCGGUCUGUUAAGUCAGAUGUGAAAUCCCCGGGCUUAACCUGGGAACUGCAUUUGAAACUGGCAGGCUUGAGUCUUGUAGAGGGGGGUAGAAUUCCAGGUGUAGCGGUGAAAUGCGUAGAGAUCUGGAGGAAUACCGGUGACGAAGGCGGCCCCCUGGACAAAGACUGACGCUCAGGUGCGAAAGCGUGGGGAGCAAACAGG